This is a long non-coding RNA of Microtus oregoni (creeping vole), 931 nucleotides long. RefSeq lists it as uncharacterized. The transcript is spliced from 4 exons. NCBI's taxonomy places the organism in Eukaryota, Metazoa, Chordata, Mammalia, Rodentia, Cricetidae. The record is from RefSeq and is a predicted model, not a curated record.
CAUAAACCAGAACAUCCAGACUGGCCUACGUACCUGUUCUACCUCUGUCUAUGGAGCAGGAAAAUGCUAAGAUUGAAGCCAUGCCUCAAGAACUGAGAACCUCCCCGGAAAUGCCAGGUUGGGAGUGAAAAAGGCCCUGGUAGAAGAGCGCUGGUAUUCGGCACUAGGAGAAGUAUGGAUAUUUUCCUCUUCAGUCCUUGGCCUAGUGCACACCUACUCCCAUAGACUGUGUGAGGAGAUAAAGCAAACUUGGGGCAAGUUUUGACUUUGCAACGCUUUCUUCUGAAAGUAACUGUCAGGUAGAUAUCCCGUGCUGGCAGCAUCUAGUUUCCACAGCUUAUAAGGUUUUCAAGAGUGACCAGGAGAUUGGAGUAUUGGACUAAGGAAUGAAUACUUCCAUUCCUGUCUGAGACUGCUUUGGGAGCCCUGUGGUGCUGUACCUGCUGUGACAUUACCAGGUAGAAGAGAAAUGCGGUGCAAGGGAUAGUUCUUCAGCUGUUGAGAUUCUAGUUCCCACACCACUGGUCCUCCCUGGAUUUGCCACCAGAGGGCUGGAUGUUUACAUCCUUUAGGAUGGGGAGAAAAAGCAAAACUAACAGUUUUGAGACAUUAGAUGUUCUAAUCAAAAAUAUAUUGUAAUUUAGCUAAAUUGCUAUGAAAAUAUGAGGCCCUGAAAGAUCAAUUUGUUGUUUUGUCUAUCAGUUUGAUUUAGCAAUGAUUUACUAGGCAUUGCCGGCAUUGUUUCAAGUAUGACUCCCCUAACUCCACAGCCUUGUGCAAUUUUUCAGGCACCUUCAUGGUGACAUUCAUUUUAGAAUACUUUCUUCCACACCUCUAGAAGAUCAGGAAGUUGAAAAUGGCAGUACUGAUAGGAAACCUAAAAUCCAAUCAGAUAUCUGGCCCACGUUCAGACUUACUUGGUUGUGUUAUU